Molecule: long non-coding RNA, 3473 nt
Organism: Columba livia (rock pigeon)
Lineage: Eukaryota; Metazoa; Chordata; Aves; Columbiformes; Columbidae
Exons: 6
Source: RefSeq, a predicted model, not a curated record
AGUUAAGCUUUUAUUUUGGGGCAUUAAUGGUGAACUCUGUAGACAAAACUUCUCUCUCUUUCCUCAGAAUGUAUCUAUCCAAAUGACUCUCUGUUAUAUGAUUCUGUCUUCUUAAUCCCACAGUAUAUGGAAAGCAUUCCCUUGUAUUGAAGAGAUAUCAUUUUAUAAAGUUGAAACUUUGCUCGCCCUGGUUACUUAGAGUCAAAGGAAUAUCCAUUUUGGGCUUCCAGUGAGUGACGGAAUAAAGCAGAUUUCCAUGUGCACACAUUAAAGAUAUGCUAGAUACAUAUAUGUUUGCGAUUAGUAGUUCCAAGUCCUGACCUCUGGGUUCCCUGAUUGACUAGGAUUCAUUUCUCCCUACCGCAGAGGGCCAGCAGAAGACCUAUGCACAAUUUAAGCUUCACUUCGAUGUAGUUUUGAGUACUUCCAUGGGACAUGGGUGGGCAGCAAGUUUCACUCACUGGAAACAUUUAAAUUUCAGUUUGGAAACAAUUUUACUAACCAAUGACAUAUUUUCUUUUAAGCUUUUACAGACCAAGAAACUUUGUCAUACAAUUCCAUUACUGAAUCCAGCAAAUUUUUGUUAAAUUACAACACCUCUCUUAGGAAGAUAUUAAAUAAUGAUUUAAAGACUUAAAGCAGGAAACUACAGCAGAAGGAAACUUGGCAGCAGUAAUGGAAUAAGCUGGUGCCUAGACAAGCUCAUUCAUAGAUAUCGUAUUGGGGAAUGGAGAAAUGGGGCCUGCUGUGCAACCCCCCAGAUCUGACAAAGAAGAGAGUACUUCAGUAAGCAGAACUGCCAUUUUUUCAAAGGCCAGAUGUUUACAGACCAAAGCUACAAAAUGCUGAAGAAAAGAUUAAAGAAGAAUACUGUGACCAAAAGAAAAAUUGCCUCAGAUGUUCAUCAUGAUACUACGUAUUUGACUUUUCAAGACUGAAAAGUCCUCCAGAUGAACUCACACUUUACUGCAGAGACCACAGACUGAUCUUCUGUGAGUCUGUGGAGGAAACAAACAGAAACAACAAGAAACCACUACCAGAUAAAGCUAAUGAUGCCCUAGGAGUGGCCUACAGAUAAUCCCUGUCUUUCUGCAUUUUGUGGCGGACUGGGGUAAUAUGACACUUUCUUGAGGGUUGCUGCUGUGUGUCUGCUCCUCUCCAUGGAGGUGACUACUGAGGGACCUGGCACCAUUGUAUUUUAUCAACAAAAUCACUGACUUAUAUCCUCCAGGUUUUGCUGCUCACUCUGAGGAUUGCAUCUUGCUGAGUGUUUUGUGAUUUACUCCCAGAUCUCUUCGAAGUCUCAGACUUGGUUUGUUAAAGCUCACUGGUUUAGUGCAUUAUUUGUUCUGUAGCAAUGCCCAGAGGCACCUUUUUUGCAGAGCAGCCUCUGUGUCUGGUACACAUGCAGCUGUUUGUCCUAAGGUCCGAGACACAUUCUCAUAGCCUUGUCUCUGCCUCUCUGGCACAUGAUGUUCUCAGCCAUCACUAAAGAUUAAUAUGUUCCAUUUGGCACUGUCGUGAGAAAGCUAUCUUGUUUGGGGGAAAAUGUAUUAUUAAGCCCAAAGCAAAGAUGCAGGCACUUUUUGGUGAUGGUGUUGAUUAUUCACAAAAUGUCAUUCCCGAGUUGCCUUGUUUGCCAAGUGUGGGACAUAUGUUAGUAAUUGGCAACGUGUAAUGUGGAUCUCUUCUAUAAAUGGCUGUUUCAAAACACAAUUAGUAAUAAAAUAAGGAGGCUAAGAGGUUCCACAGAAGAUCCAACACUGCACCUCUUUUUAAACUGUUAUCACUAGCAGGCAAGACUUGUUCUCCCUCCUUGUCCAGACUGCUUUUCUUCCUGUAAAACCUCAGGCCUGUUCCCCAUUUUUGCUCGUGUUGCAACUUAGGGUUUUUUUGUUCUUUGAGGAGACAGCUAGUUGAAAUCUAUGUCUGCUGUUUCUUAAUAUGCUUUCCACUGACUUGUGGGCUAGCUUUAUUUGAACAACUCCAGUAACGACAUAGAAUGAUUUUCAAGGACCUGGAGGAGGAAAUAAUUCUAUGAAGCUCCAUAGCUCCUAUGGAUUCUAUCUCUUGAUUUUAGUUACACUCCACACGGACAUAAAGUAUCAAUAGAUACCUUAAUAGAGUCAGAGGCUUGAAUUUGCUGUCAUGUCGCCACUGUUUUGAUGUGAAGGCAUUAAUUCAGAUGGCAUAAUUGGUAGGGUUGGAAUAAAUCUUAACAUAUCAGCCCCAAGAGAUUUACAGCAGAAGAGUUUGAAUGUGCAAAUAUUUGUGCAGGUGUGCAGAUCUACAGACUCUAUUGUUAUCACAGACCUGUUCAACUGAGGAAGUUAUUGGUCUGUAGUGAUGGAGGUAGAAACAGGCUUUUGAGACCUAAAUACCACUGGAUAAUGAAUGGUAAGGACAAUACAAUACACAUAAGGAGGAAAGUGUCACCUGUAUGAGGCGCACUUGGAAAUGGCAUUGGCAAGUUUGUCUGAUAUUUGGAGGGGCAAGAUUAUUUGGUUGUUUGGUUAGCUGGUCACAUAUUUUUUUCAUGCAGGAUAGUAUGAGUUUGAGUGUGGCUGGGGUAUAAUGAUGUGUAGAUGGAUGCUGGAGAUCCAGUUUUCUGGUGACAUGGCCUAAUCUGUCAGCUAGCAAGGAGAAGAGAAGGAGGUGCAGAUGAUUGAUACAAAGUUAUAACCACCCUUUUUGAUUGUUGGUGUAUUUUUUCAUGUCUUUUCUGGACUCCUCUUUGCUGUGGGACACUUGUGUAAUAGAAGAACUGGUUCACAUCUUUGCACGCUCUUUCCAAUGCAACACUAGCCGCUGUGAUCCACUCCCAGUAAAUAUUAGUUAACUAUUGCAAUAUGUUUUUUGAGGGGUGUAGCCUAAAUCAGAAGUUGAUGCAAAAUACCGCAUCCCACUUUCCAAGCGGCAACCAUGGCCAAAUUGUUCCACGCUUCACAUGGAGCAGCAGCCCAAAGAGCACUAGGGGCAGCAAGAAUCUUUCCACUGACUUCAAAAAGCUUUGACUCAAGCCACCCAAGACAAUGCUAGGCCCUGUUUUUCCCCAAAAGGUGAACAUGGCUUCAGAAACAUUUUUGAGAGCCUGUCCUCUUUUAUCCAGUGUGGCCAGGAAUGAUCCCAAACCAGAGAUAUCCUGGCUUGGGAGUGGUGGUGCUGCUUGGCUGGGAAUGGAGUCAAACCUUCGGCUUUUUUCCCUUUGUUUGAAGUUUCUCAGCCUCCAGUAUGUGAAGCUUUCCCUGGCUCUUGGGUAGGAGAAUGCAGGUUACUCUUUCCAUAUGGAGUCAGUAUUUGUUGAACUGUUUUUCCAGUUUGAACUGGUUAUUUUCCCAUUAAAGAAGGAAAGAGGGGUAAAUUUGGUCACUUUUUGGAAGGAAGUGGAAUUGAAUUAUUGUUCUUAUCUACUUUGUAUCUGUGUAAGCCCUGUGUAUGUGUUCUUGUGCAUCAAAUGAAAUAAAAAACAUAAA